This 253-nucleotide ribosomal RNA is filed under the name uncultured bacterium. RNAcentral's name for it is "partial 16S ribosomal RNA". It matches the Rfam family "Bacterial small subunit ribosomal RNA", at positions 524 to 776 of the family's 1533-position model. The record is from RNAcentral.
UACGGAGGGUGCAAGCGUCAAUCGGAAUUACUGGGCGUAAAGCGCACGCAGGUGGUCUGUUAAGUCAGAUGUGAAAUCCCCGGGCUCAACCUGGGAACUACAUUUGAAAUUGGCAGGCUUGAGUCUUGUAGAGGGGGGUAGAAUUCCAGGUGUAGCGGUGAAAUGCGUAGAGAUCUGGAGGAAUACCGGUGGCGAAGGCGGCCCCCUGGACAAAGACUGACGCUCAGGUGCGAAAGCGUGGGGAGCAAACAGG